AGCGAACGCUGGCGGCAGGCUUAACACAUGCAAGUCGAGCGCCUGUAGCAAUACAGGAGCGGCAGACGGGAGAGUAACACGUGGGAACGUACCCUUCAGUUCGGAACAACCCAGGGAAACUUGGGCUAAUACCGAAUACGUCCGUAAGGAGAAAGAUUUAUCGCUGAGGGAUCGGCCCGCGUCUGAUUAGCUAGUUGGUGAGGUAACGGCUCACCAAGGCGACGAUCAGUAGCUGGUCUGAGAGGAUGAUCAGCCUCAUUGGGACUGAGACACGGCCCAAACUCCUACGGGAGGCAGCAGGUGGGGAAUAUUGGACAAUGGCGCAAGCCUGAUCCAGCCAUGCCG
RNAcentral lists this ribosomal RNA (345 nucleotides) under uncultured bacterium. Its description in RNAcentral is "bacterial SSU rRNA". It matches the Rfam family "Bacterial small subunit ribosomal RNA", at positions 29 to 399 of the family's 1533-position model. The record is from RNAcentral.